This 253-nucleotide ribosomal RNA is filed under the name uncultured bacterium. Its description in RNAcentral is "partial 16S ribosomal RNA". It matches the Rfam family "Bacterial small subunit ribosomal RNA", at positions 524 to 776 of the family's 1533-position model. The record is from RNAcentral.
UACGUAGGGUGCAAGCGUUGUCCGGAAUUAUUGGGCGUAAAGAGCUCGUAGGCGGCCAACUAAGUCGGACGUGAAAUCCCUCGGCUUAACCGGGGAACUGCGUCCGAUACUGGAUGGCUUGAGUUUGGGAGAGGGAUGCGGAAUUCCAGGUGUAGCGGUGAAAUGCGUAGAUAUCUGGAGGAAUACCGGUGGCGAAGGCGGCAUCCUGGACCAUAACUGACGCUGAGGCGCGAAAGCUAGGGGAGCAAACGGG